AUGAAAGGGGAAGAAAUGUGAAUGAUUACGGAGUGUGUGAGAAAAGCCCCUCUGUGGAAGUGGAUCCUUUGAGUCAGUUUACUUCCUCUCACACGGAAAAUCAUCUUUAGUGUUGAAAGUGCAGAGUUUUAUUCAGCUGCAGGUUUUCUGUGAACAUCGACACUAUGGGGCCAAAAAAGGGUCAAAAUUAUUGCAUUUUUCUAAAAAACUAUUUAAAACUGAAUGUCAGGUUUUAACUCAAAAUCUGAACAUCAACAAUGAGUUCAAGGAAAUGAGUCUCGUGUCUCUUUCCGGGAUUUUAAUGACAGUUUGCUGUGAAGCUGCUGUUCGCCACCACAGACGGGCAUCUGUGCAUGUUUGGGAGCCAAUUUCUGCACCUGCAGUUUAUGUCUCAACAGAGCUGAUGGAGAGAAAAUGUUCCAGCAGACCUUCCUAACAACAUCAACAAAAGCAUUUAAGAGCUGCUCAAGGUGAAUUUCUCUAAAAUUAGAGAUAAAAACGCUUCUUCUCUCCAGCUGCAGAGGGCGCCGUGGCUCUGCUGUUCAGCUCCACCAUUCCUACAAACGUAAUGAUUUUAAAUGAUUCACUGCGGCCCAAAUUAUGCUCCGUGUUCAUGUCACAGAAAUGAAUGUUGGUACUGAGACGACUGUGUUCCCAGGACAAUAAAAACAACAUUUUCCCCCUUCAGCGUUUCUGCACAUCCCUGCACUUCCACAGUUCCACAGAUCCUCUGCAUAAAGCGUCUCAUGUUCUGCAGUUGGAUCCACUUAACUGCAUUUCUGAUCAUUAAAUCAUCACGUUUGCUAAUCAGCUCAUCAAACUGGAGGAAAAAAGUUUCAUCUGAAAGCAAAAGCUCAAGAAAAGAUGUGACUUUUCUUCAGUGGAAAGUUGUGUAAAAACCUCCAAAAUGACACAGCAGUUUGUUCCUGUGGGCAGGAAGCCUCUCCAGUAGCAGUCAGUGUUGCAGGGAUUCUGAAGACGCCUCUGACUGAAGUUGUUGCUGUAUGAGAGUCACGAUAUGCUAACAGCUGCAUUUCCAAACUCAAUAUUCCACAGUAUAAUAUAAUUAGCAUAAUAUGCUAAUCCAACUCCUAUGCUUCACCAAACACCCUGUUGCCAUGGUUACGAUCAAUCAUUACAGCUAAUGAAGACGGGGGUUACGGACAAAUAAUAUGGCCAAAUGCAUUUAAAUGGUUGUUUUGUGCUUAAUGAUUUAACUGUAAAAUUUUAAGUAUCUUUUGUUUUACUUUGAAAUCUGGGCUUUUAUUGUGAAAUCUGGGCUUUUUAGAACAUUAGUUGGAGAAUCUUCAACACAAUGAGAAAUGUCUGAAUAAAAAUAAUAAACCACAGACACUGACAAUAUUGACAUUAAUGUAUUGCAAUAUACAAUGUAAAUGAAUAAUUUUAUACAUAAACUGGUAAAAAAUAAAACUAAAUUUACCUUUUGUUGUA
Long non-coding RNA from Poeciliopsis prolifica (blackstripe livebearer), 1452 nucleotides. RefSeq lists it as uncharacterized. The record is from RefSeq and is a predicted model, not a curated record. NCBI's taxonomy places the organism in Eukaryota, Metazoa, Chordata, Actinopteri, Cyprinodontiformes, Poeciliidae. The transcript has 2 exons.